Molecule: long non-coding RNA, 3983 nt
Organism: Capra hircus (goat)
Lineage: Eukaryota; Metazoa; Chordata; Mammalia; Artiodactyla; Bovidae
Exons: 4
Source: RefSeq, a predicted model, not a curated record
AGGGCGGUUAGGGGGAACCGAGAGGGUGAAAACCGCCCUGCAGAGCGGCGGGGGCGGAGAGGAAACCUGCGCCCAGAGCCACGUGCUGGAGCCGGCGCGGGGUGGGUGGCUCGCGGAGGCGUGGGGGAAGGAGAGGCCGCUGCUGGGAAAGGCCCCAGGCCACGUUUCUCGGGGAGGAGAUGCGCCGAGGUGGACACGCUCGGCCCCAGGCCAGCCGGGGACCUUCGUGUCUGGAGAAGGCGGCCCAAGAUCCCUCUGAUGGGAGCAGCUCUGGCCGAGCCUCGGAGGGCCGGCCCUGCCUGCCCAGGGAUGGCCUUGCAGAAAUGCCCUGGCCUAAAGGAAACGGCAACCCACUCCAGUGUUCUUGCCUGGAGAAUCCCAGGGACGGGGGAGCCUGGUGGGCUGCCGUCUCGGGGGUUGCACAGAGUCGGACACGACUGAAGCGACUUAGCAGCAGCAGCAGCAGCAACCUAGUUGCCUCCUCUAACCGCGGUGGGAUGGGGUUGAGGCUGAAGGAUCUUCUCUCUCACCCCGCCCCUGCCCACCACCACCUCAAAGAGGAUAUCUGUCCAGGGGUGGAAGAAUUUGAGAGGCUGAGUAAACUGGGGGUGGGUGGCCAUCCAGUGAAGGUGAGGAGAGUGGUAGAAAGGAAAAAGGAGGCACAAAAAGAAAGGAAAAUCUUAAGAACCUGCCGAGGAUGUAACCGCAGUCCUUGGAAAGGUUCUGUCCAGGGUCAAGAACGUCAAAUUGAGAGAAUGUUGAGCUAUUUUUCAGAAGCCACUGGAGCAAAAGGACCAACAUCUCUAGGAGAGUGCCUGGUGGUGUGUGCUGCCCGCUGCAGAGACCAAACGUUGGUGACCACAAAAGAAUCUGGCAAGUCUAGAAAAUGGUGAACAGCUAAGGUUUAAUAAGCAUUUACUAUGUGCCAGGAAUUUUUCUGAACUCCUUACAUGCUGCUUACUUGCUUCAUUUCAUCCUCGAAGCAGCCUUAGGAAACAGAGCUGAUGAUGACCUCCCUUUCACAGGUUCCUGCCUCCUCUGCUACCCCUAAGACUUGGCUCAUGACUGAAGUUUCGACUAGAAAAUCAUGCUGAAAGGAAACGGCUGUACUUCUCUGUGUCCACACCGGGAACCCCAUCUCCUGGGCUCUCAACCCUCCUCUCACAGAGCCGAGUGAGCUCUUGGGCAAGACUGCGGUGGUCUCGGCAGUACGUUGGGGAUUGUCCCUGGUCCCUGGUCUCGGACGGCUCGCUCAGUAAUCCCUGCCAGACUGCACACCAGCCUCUCAAACAGCCUGUGUGGUUGGCUGAGUUUGGUUAAACUGGAGGAUAUAGGCCGCCGUGGUGCCCUGCACUCUGACUUGUCCCUGCCCCUUAGCCCUUCUUAGAGGUCUCCCACAGAGGGCUCAAGCCUUCCUUAUCUUGGGCAUUUCUCAGUGUCUCUGGCACUCCAGCCCCCUUGGGUCACCAUCCCACCCCCUCAGCACCUCACAGCAGUAGGGUGACAAGAAACGUCUGAGCACGGUGGGGAGAGCGUGGGGGCUGGGAGGUGAGAGGGAAGGCUCUGCUUCUUCCAGUCAUGAGCUUCCUUUAUUGACUCAUGCAUGUGUGUUGGCUGGAUGGGGAAACAUGGGAGGAGAUGGAGGCUGGACAUGGUAAUACCAGCCCAGUGGCUCUUGGCUCCAAGUCUGUUCACAGAUGUUUGUUAACCAGACGUCGUUAGAAAGGACUUCCAAGCUCUGCUUGCAUCUCCUCUGCUGAGAGUUGACUCAGUAGCAUUUCUCAGAAGCCCCUUUCUUCUGUCACAGCUUGCAACUCCUCUGAGACUCCAGAAACAUCCAGCCUACGCAACGUCUUUUCUUGACUGAAGUGUGGCCGUUGGAACCAUACUGCCUAGGUUCCCAUCCUGCCUUUGAACCUCUCAGACUUGGGGGUGAUCCUUAAUCCCUCUCUGCUUCUGAUCCCUCGCCUCUGAUGUGGGGAUGAGAGCAUCUAUAGCCCAGAGUUGUUGAGAUUGCAAUGUUGUCAGCUGUAAAAGACUUAAAAUAGUACCUGGUACAUGGUAGGUGCUAUGGAAGUGUUAGCAGCUGUCUUAUUAUUACUAUUAGGAUUAUUUUCUGUCUCCUCUUUCCUUUUCUUCCACAUCUUUAGUCUAGACUUUAUCGAUGCACUGUCCUCCAGAGCCUCGGCAGGCUGGCUGGGCAAAGCUGUCCUUACAGGCUGGUGUAGGGGCCUUGGAAGGCUGGAGACUCUCCCGUGGAGAUGAACAUGCUCCUCUGGGAAGGUGUGGGGACCCCUGCAGAUGGUUCUGAGGUGGGAAGGAGCAAGUCACUCUCUGCUGUACUGAAAGCAGUACAGCUGCCUAGAGCAAGGGGUGUGUCUCCUGGUGAUGAGGGAACUUUGGUUUGGGUCCAAAUAGUUCAGAGAAAAACGCAUCAGUCAGAGGACUUCUGAGUGUAUCCAGAUGGAGGUGAAGCCGCAUACCUGGUCUCACGUGGGAUGAAACUGUGCAACUCCUGUGGAAUUCAAACCCAGCCCAAACUCUGAUUGAGGUUUGAACCCAUGAGCUGGGACUUGAACCCACUGUCUUUUCAUUGAAAUCACACACCUGGUCUCAGGACUUAAUGAAGAUCAGGUUCUUAAGUCGAGGUGCAGAAAGAAUUCAUUGAGAGGCAAAGUGAUAGGUAGGAAGUGUCAAUAGAUUUAUUGAGACAGAGUAUAGGCCAUCUCAGGUGGCAAGAGGCCCCAGAAUAAGUGGUUAGUUUUCUUGGGCCGGGUAAAUUCUUAGGCUAAUGAGUGAGAGGAUUAUCCAGCCAUUUUGGAGAAGGGGUGGGGAUUUCUAGGAACUGGGCCACUGCCCCCUUUUUGGCCUUCUGUGGUUGGUCUAACUGUCACAGCUCCAGAGGGGGUGUUGUUCAGUAUAUGGAUAUGUUACAGUGAGAGUAUAAUGAGGCUCAAGGUCUACUGGAAGUCAAACCUUCCACCAUUUUGGGUCUAGUAGAUUCUAAUCAGUUUAUGUUGUAUCCACAAUGACUAUGUCAUUCUCUUAAAGGUUAUAUCCUGCCCCCUUCCCUCCUGUUUCAGAGGUUACAAUUAAGACACUCAUACAAUAGGACUCUAGUGGGUUGAUGGGUGGCUCCCCAAGAAAUAUGUCCAUGUUCUAGCCCCCAAAACCUGUGAAUGUGACCUUGUUUUUAAAGAGUCUUUGCAGAUAUCAUGAAGAAUCCUGAGAUGAGGUCAUCCUGGAUUAUUUGUCUGUGUCCUAAAUCCAAUGACAAGUGUCCUCGUAAAAAGUAGAAGAGGAGGAUUUGCAAACCCAGAGGGGAAGGCCAAGUGAAGACAGAGGCAGAGUCUGAAGUUAUGCAGCUGAAACAAGCUUGGAGCCACCAGAAGCUGGAAGGGAAACUUUGGAGAGAAUGCAGUCCUGAGGACAACUUGUCUUUGGAUUUUUUUGCUCAGAACUGUGAGAAAAUUCAUUUCUGUUGUUUUAAGCCACCCAGUUUGUGGUAAUUUGUCUCAACAGUUACAGGAAAUUAAUAACAAGGACCAAAUGCAAACCACAGCCUAUCUGUACCCCAAAAGGAAAAGGAAAAGAUAAGGGGCCAUGGUUUGAAGUGGUGAAGGCAGAGAGAAAUGAAACUCAAAGGAUCGAUGAAGGACUUUCAUUGAUUGCUGCAUGUGAUGAAGCGGGCUGUGUACCGCACAACAGUGGAUGGCACAUACCGUAUGGUUGUAGAUCUGAGUAUUUAUUGCUUGGUUUUUCCCUGCAGGGGUCAGUAAGGUGUCUUAAGGAAGGGGUGCCUCUUACUAAAACAUACACAAUUACCCUAUGGCCUUGCUAGUGUUAGUGAGAAACAUCCAGAUAGCCCUGUCCAGUGGAACUUUCUGCAAAGAUGGAAAUGUUAUGUUGUAAUUAUUGUUGUUUAGUCACUUGGUCAUGUCCAACUCUCUGCAACCUCAUGGACUGUAGUACACCAGGCUCCU